RNAcentral lists this ribosomal RNA (479 nucleotides) under uncultured bacterium. Its description in RNAcentral is "partial 16S ribosomal RNA". It matches the Rfam family "Bacterial small subunit ribosomal RNA", at positions 28 to 507 of the family's 1533-position model. The record is from RNAcentral.
GACGAACGCUGGCGGCGUGCUUAACACAUGCAAGUCGAACGAAGCUUGAUUACGGAUUCUUCGGAUGAAGUAUGAUAUGACUGAGUGGCGGACGGGUGAGUAACGCGUGAGUAACCUGCCCUUCAGAGGGGGAUAGCGUUUGGAAACGAACGGUAAUACCGCAUAAUGUAUUUUGACCGCAUGAUCGAAAUACCAAAGCUUUAUCGCUGAAGGAUGGACUCGCGUCUGAUUAGGUAGUUGGUGGGGUGACGGCCUACCAAGCCGACGAUCAGUAGCCGGACUGAGAGGUUGAGCGGCCACAUUGGGACUGAGACACGGCCAAGAAUCCUACGGGAGGCAGCAGUGGGGAAUAUUGCACACGGGGCGCAAGCCUGAUGCAGCAACGCCGCGUGAAGGAAGACUGUUUUCGGAGUGUAAACUUCUGUUCUUAGAGAAGAAUAAUGACGGUAGCUAAGGAGAAAGCCACGGCUAACUACGUG